Molecule: RNA transcript, 4337 nt
Organism: Lutra lutra (Eurasian river otter)
Lineage: Eukaryota; Metazoa; Chordata; Mammalia; Carnivora; Mustelidae
Gene: HYKK
Gene name: hydroxylysine kinase
Exons: 6
Source: RefSeq, a predicted model, not a curated record
GUUGGAAGAAAGCUAUUUUGGAAAAAGAGGGAAGUGAGGGUGCAUGGAACUCAAACAUUUGGUUCCUGAAGGCUGUUCAGAAGCCCUUCCCUGUGGUAUCUGUGUCACGUAGGUGCUUUUGAGGGAUGCCAAUUGGUUUGUUUUCCCGAGACAUAAUGUCACACGGAGAUGAUCAGCAAUCCCAGGCUCUUGCCAAACCUACUUUCAGUGACGUACAAGCCUCUGCAUUGGUGGAAUCGGUAUUUGGGUUAAAAGUUUCCAAGAUCCAGCCACUUCCCAGCUAUGAUGACCAAAACUUUCAUGUGUGCAUUUCGAGUGCCAAAGACACCGCAGAUGAGCCAAUGGAGUACGUCCUUAAGAUAAGCAACACCGAGUCCAGCAGGAGCCCGGAGCUGAUUGAAGUGCAGAGCCACGUCAGCAUGUUCCUGAGAGCUGCUGGCUUCCCCACGGCCUCUGUGCGUCCGACUGCAGGAGGCCACCUCAGCUCUCUCGUGUCCGUAGAUGGCGGCUCUGGAGUCGCAGGCUACCUGCUGAGGCUGCUGUCCUACCUCCCGGGGACGCCUGUGGCCGAGAUCCCCAGCAGCCCCCAGCUGCUGUACGAGGUCGGGAGGCUCGCCGGCAGACUGGAUGAGACCCUGCAGCCCUGCGCCUCGAGGGAGUGUGGGCAGGAUUGCCUGCGUUUCCAGGUGGUCCCUACGCUCUUGGUGCCGCUCCCGGAAGACCGUCUGCAUUUGCGGAGUGAGCCCCACACUGUCCGGCCAGCGAGCGAGCCACGGCCAGAGCCAGAGGCCUGGGCGGACGUGUGUCUACGUGGUGGUGGAAACGGUACUGUGGACGACGAGUGUGCCCUGCAGCUGCCCACAGCAUGUGUGUACGUGCCCCUUGACCGUGCCUGGCUCCGGGAGAAGAGGACGGGCUCCCCUGUCCCAGAGGAGUGUGCUGGGGCGGGGGCAACACGCACGCUAAGAGGUGGUCUGAGCCACGUGAUCUGCAUGAGGAAAACACCUCCAGGACCCCCGCUGAGUCCUGCUCAUGCCACAGGCCACGUGCCUCUGUGGCCCGGUCGCCCUCGCUCCUGCCGUGACUGUUCUCGCUCAUCACAGUUGCCUCCCUGUGGUCAGGCUCCUUCUCCAAUUUCCUCUUUGUGCCCAUUCAGAGUUACUUUCUACAAUUACAAAUCCAACCACGGACCCUGUCAGCGGCUUCUCGCUACUUCGAUGUGGAGGCCAAGGUCCCCGUGUGAGGCCCCGCAUGCCCUGUCCUGCCUGUGUCCCCACAGGGCCUCCGUCCGUCCGUCCGUCCUUCUCUCCAUCACUCCUUGUGGAUCCCCGACGGGCCACUCUGUCUCACACGUCUUCACGUGUGUCUUCGCACAUGCCACUUUCUGAGCUACCGGGACCUUUCCCCGUGCAGCCAGACUCCCACGCAUCCUUCAGCACGUGGCUUGGGCGUCGCCCUCUGGGAAAUGCCCCCUGGACCCCUCCCUUGUUGCUGUGCAUAAACAAUCACUCCCUCUUCUUGCGACUUCUGAACUCCGACCUCCUGUUGCUGGCCUUGCCGAGCAGCAUCCCGGCUACCUAUGCUACGUAACAGACCAUCCCCAAACUGAGCCUUCAGACAUGGAUUUAUUUCUUGUGUCUCUGUGGGUCGGGGUGUGGAUGGGGCCAUGCGUGCAGCCGCACUCAGUGGGGUGCUCGGCCGGGGGCGCUGUGGUUCUCCCCCACGGGGGCUCUCGUCCCCCAGGAUGGCCCCGUGUCCUCACCAUGAGGCAGCUGGUUGCCGAGAGAACAAGACGGGGACAAAAGUGGAGACAGAUGCUGGUCAGAUUAUGAGAUACAUUGUCGUGUAUGACACGAAAGGGUUUAGGGAACUUGGAGGGUUUUUAUUUUUAUUUCCCGGGUUUUUUUUAGUUUAAAUUAAGUUAAUUAAGAUAUGACGUAUUAUUGGCUUCAGAGGUAGAGGUCAGGGAUUCAUCAGUCGCAUGUGACAGCCGCGCUCGUCACCUCAUGUGCCCUCGCCUGGAGGGUCUUCAGACGGGCACAGAUUGCGACGUUGCGGCACUCCGUGGACCAGUGUGGUGGACAGGCUGGCAGAGAGCCGGAGUGGGCGGAGCGCGUCUAGGAAGCGAAGGAAUCAUCAGAGAGAAGCUGACUGAGGGCCGGAACCCAUGAAAGCUUCAAGAUACAUGUUGGAGACGGAGCCGGCCGGAUUUGGUGAUUGAUUUAAAGUUCCGCGAUGGGACACAGAGGGGCUGAGGAAGACGCAGGCUCUAACAUGUGUGCUGGGACCCGGCGCCGUGCACAGGACGGCAGUCACCCCCGACGUUGGUCACAGGGGAGCCCCGUGCCGCGGGGGAAGCUCGCCAGCCUCCGUGGACCUCACGCCGUGCCCCCUCGUGGCUCCCGGGGUCAGCCCGUCGACGGUGUCCUUCCCUGUGGCUGCUGCUUUAGAAGAGUCACCAGAGCCUUAGCGGGAGCUCAGUGAGAGAAGGGCCGGGGCACCCCAGCCAUGAGACGGAGGAGGUUCCUAUGCCCCCGUCCCAGAGCCCCUGGGGCCGAGCAGGAGACUUCCUGUGUGCCUUCUGUCCCCGUGUGCCAUGCAGGCGCGUCUGGUAGGGGAGGUGAGGUCUUGCUGGUUUUCCCAUCUGACAGUCUGUGUCCCUCCUCUGGGAUGUUUGCGUUUAACCUAGUCAUGCCAUGGCCCCCGAACUCUGGCUCGGACGCCCAGGAGCCGGAGCUGCGACGCUCACGCUCGGCAAACCUGUACCGGGCGCCCGUUAGGUGUGACGUCUUUAUUCAUUUUAUUCUUUCCGGUCUUCGUUCGUCAAACGACCGCGCGGCUGGUGUUGACACUCAGGUUUUACCGUGAAGGAAACAGAUCUGCAAUAUUAAGCGGAAGAGCCUGUUGAGACCCUGCUGUGUCGGACCUUGGGGCCGGGUCCUGUCCCGCACCUCCUGCUGGAGCCCGGGCCCUCUCCCAUGGGGUGUGUGGCUGGCAGUGCCCUGUUUUAGGAGCCGGCCCAGAGUCCUCCCCGGGUGGACCAUGGCUCCGUCUAUUGUGCUCUUUACAACGGAAAGGAAGAAGAAUGCCCGGUAAACUUUCCAGUGGUUCCGAACAGGGUCAGCGUUCUUUCUCUCCCGUACCUUGUCCACUCAUACCUGCAGUCCUGUCCCCCAGGGACACAGCUUCUAGCAGCGUUGUCAUGCCGAACGUUCCUGUGACCUGGAGUGGCCCUUGGCACGUCAUGCUGUCAGGAGGGUCAGACCGUGUCCUGUGAGGAUGACUGGGCACUGGCAAGCUUGACUCUGCCAGGAGGACACUCUGGGGGGCAGGACCGCCGUCUGGGACUAUGUGGUGGCCAGUCAGGUGGGAGAUGGCCCCGAUGUCAUCACUGGAACCAGGGCCGGGGACACAGUACAGAGACAGCUCGGCUCAGCGACAGGAAGCCCACAGAGCCGCUCAGGCAUGAAAAGUCGCCCCUGUGAGAGGUGCUCUGACCGAGGCUACUUAGCAAGUCCGUAGUGGUGACAGUGGAGCCUGGUCCAAACUCCAGGCCUCGAGAGUGGAUGGCAAAAUCCACUAAGAGGAAUGUUUCUAAAGAAGUAGAAUAAAAUCCAAAACCCAGCAUACAUCCCAUGGGCUGGUCCACAUGCUGCUGACGGAGGCCUGUGUCCUGGGCUGUCCUGCGACACGGCUGUCUCGCUUGAGAAGUCACGCCCAAUGGACGGAAGGGCCCUCAGCGCCCCUCCGCCCGCGAGUAGUGACUUCCCUCGUUAUCCUGUGUGUCGUGAUGGGCAGAGCUGUUUCGAACUCCAUAUAGAGUGGCCCAAGGCUAACGGCCUUGGCAAUUCUAGAAUUUUCUAUCCCGGGAACAUUCAUUUAUUUGGCAACUGUCGCUGGAGCAGCCUGUUCUUUGAGCCGGGCACCGUGGUAGGUGCGGGAAUGUGGAGCUAGCCGACGGACCAACCCAGAGCACGGCCCUCGCAGGAGCUUCCGUUCCCGUGAGGCUGGAGAGUAAGGCCAGAGGAAAUUCCGUCACCCAAAGUUAAGUCAUCUUCGUCGGGAGAACUUCAUUUGGAAUCUGAAAAACGUCCCUCUUCUGGAGAAGUACCUGGACGCCUUGGGCCAGAGCCGAAACCGGGAGAUUGUCGUACAGGUCAUCCAGCUGUUCAAGGACGAAAUCCUGACCAAACUACAUCACUUCCGAGAGUGUGUCAAUCAUGGAGAUCUUAAUGACCAUAAUAUUUUAGUGGAGCCCAGCAAGUCAGCCUUUGGCGAUGCUGUGUACCACGUGUCUGGCAUUCUGGACUUUGGUGACAUGAGCUAUGGCUACUACG